GCCUCCCCACCAUAUUGAAAACAACCGAAGGUCGACGCUGAUCUCGAUCGCAACAGAGUAUUCUUUGGUUAGGUUAUUGGCUACGUUUGACGUCUUCUGUUAUAAUAUGAUUUCAGUAAUUAAAUAGUUUAAAAACUGAACAAAAUGGAAGUUGGUGGUGAUUUAACACUACAGUGGGUAGAAGAAGUGGGAAAUGUAGAACUCCAUGAGGAAGUGAUAUGUGAUUUGGAAGCACAAUUGGUUGCUACAGAAGAAGAGGUUAUUGGUGCUUGUGAGGAAGUAGCAGUAGAAGAAACUGUUGAAUCUGUCCCUGAUGUAGCACCUACAACAGAAUCUGAAAUACUAAUGGUAUCCCAACCUAAUGACAUGGAAUCUAUUUAUAUUGUACCACAGGAUCAAGGUCAUGACUAUUUAAAUAUACAAGUGACAGAAGAAGUAAUAGCUGACAAUUGGGAUAGACAAGGUCCAGAUGACGGAGUCGAGAUUCCAGAGGCAAAAGUAGCACAUGAUAACUUGCUGGAAUAUGAUGACAUGGAGAUUCCGCUGCCAAUAAAUCAGGAUUCAAAUACUAACAUCCGACCAUAUCCAUGUGACUUCUGUAGUCGUAGAUUCCGGAAGAAAGCAAAUUUAAUGAAUCACAUGGUAGCACAUCAAACAGAUCGUCCACAUAGCUGCAAUCUAUGUGGAGCACGGUAUGUACGCAAAUGUGAUUUAAACAAUCAUCUGAAGAUUCAUGCAUAUGCGCCAUCAUCACGGGAUGGUCUGGAGGAUGAGAUAAACGAUGAGGAUAUCUUGGCACCAGAGGAAGAGGAUAUGACAACUACUGUCAAAGGAAGACGUAAAAAAGUGCAAUCAAAUAUGCCACGUAAACGAAGAGGUAAUAAUGCUACUGGUUUGCCAAAACGACAAAGCACUCAAGAUGCCAGUGGAGUCAAGAUGGAGAUGGGCAAUGGCAAUUAUGCAUCUAGUUCAAAAUGGCACGAAGAGAUGGCUGUUACCAAUGAGCAGCAAUCAUCAAGGUGGCCAAUAACUGAUACCACUAAGCCCUAUAUCUGUCAGUUCUGCGGUGUUGGUUUUGCAAGGGAGAAAGCGUUAGCUUCACAUGCACGUAUUCACGGUGGUGACAGUCCAUUUGAAUGUACUUCCUGUAGUGAAAUGUUUUGGGAUGUUAACAGUCUGCGAGAACACGUACGCGUUAAGCAUGGUGAUACUAUGCUUCAAUCUGACACAGAGGAAUAUGACAAUGACACUGCUUACGCAAGCGAAGAAAGAUUUGGCGAGUUUUACUGUAAUAUCUGUGCUGUACCAUUCCAUCGUCUGGAUCUACUUAAGCGUCAUCAAAAAAUUCAUAUCAAGCAAGAAACGGACACAAUGGAAGGUUCCAGUCAGCAUCACGUGUGCAAUGUUUGUGGUGAAUGGUUCGAAGAAGCAUUGGCACUAUUAGCACAUGCAGAACUUCAUGCUAGAUCUCCUAGUCGCCGUUGCUUGUUAUGUGGAGCAAGAUGUCGUGACGACGCCGACGUAGCGGAACAUGUACGGCAAAAUCACGCUGAGGAUGCGCCGCCGAAUACAUGUACACUAUGUGGGAAGACAUGCAAAGAUAAACGUAGUUUACUGAAGCAUUCAUGGGUCCACAAUGUCGAUAAAACUUUUGGUUGUACAAAAUGCGGAAAACGCUUUCAUAGUAAAGCCAGAUUGCGAAGGCAUAUGGUAUCACACCGUAAUAAGAUGGUAGCUUGUGAUGAAUGUGGUGAGGAAUUUCCUGACGGACGAGCUCUCGUAAGCCAUCGUCAUUCACAUAAUAAGGAUCUGGGCGGGCGUUCUUUUCCCUGCCGCGAAUGUGGAAAGACCUUUGGCAGUCGUAGCUCGCAACAAAUUCAUAUACGUAUCCAUACUGGCGAGAGACCAUAUGGUUGUCGGUUUUGUUGGAAGGCAUUUGCCGAUGGUGGUACUUUGAGGAAACAUGAACGUAUUCAUACUGGCGAGAAGCCUUAUGGUUGCGCCAUUUGUCCUCGAGCUUUUAAUCAGAGAGUGGUUCUCAGGGAACAUGUACGCGCCCAUCAUUCCGGACCAGACCCUAAAUACGUAGGCAGUGCAACACCAUUUUUAUGUAAGGUAUGCGGUGAAGCAUAUGGCACAUCUGAGGAAAUAGUGGCUCAUAUUGUGCAGCAUUGUGAUGACAAUACUGCAUUAAGACGUCAACCACAAACUGGUCCACGCAAGUACAAAAGAAGACGCAAAUUAAAACCUCAUGAGACCAACACAAUAUUGCGCAGGAACGAAUUUUAUGACAUGAUAGAAGGUGGUGAUGGUAGUGGCGGUGGUGGCGGCGGCGAUGGUAUAAGUGGCGGUAGUGGUGACGUUGGAGUUGGCGUUGGCGUCAGCAUUGGCAUUGGCGAUAGCAUUGGCGAUCAUGGUGGCGAUAAUGGUGGCAGUGGUAGUGGCGGCAACGGAGGUAUUGGUGAUUCCGAUUCUGAGGAAAAUAUAAAACGGAAACUCAGUCGCAAAAACAAACAACAUAAAUCCAAUGUUGAGGAAGGUUAUCAAAAUGUGUUAAAAAGUUUUGAAAGUUCACUACAAAAUAUAAACUCAAUCGUGAACAACUCUAAAUUGAAUACGUCAAAGUCGAAGCUUUCGAAAAAAAAGCUACGCAAAGAAGAGAAAAGAAGCGAGACACAAGCGUCGAAUCAAUCAGGUCGACCAAAAAUGAUCCACACACAAAAAACGCGAGUGCCAGUGGAGGUGGGUAGCGACGGUGUGAAGAAAGGACAGAAAACGAAAACAAUGGUAACCCGAACGCCAAAGGUCAUGCCAAAUGAACAUAAGCCAGGCAUCUUUUCGGGCGGUGAGAGGAAUCGGCCGCGCACUAAAAACGUUAGUUAUCAUAUUGAGGGCAAACAACAACUCUCACCGGCAACGUUCUUAAAGAUGAAAGAAGAUACAGAUCCGAUGUCGAUGCAACAGCAAUCGCAACAGCAAUUGCUGUUGACAAACAUCAAAGUCGAAUCAGAUGCACAAAAGGCAGCGUCCACAGGCGGCAGUCAUAGGAAUAACAAUGGUAAUAUGCUUGGUCUUCUUAAGAGUGAAUCAUUAGCCAAGAAAAAGUCAUCUACCCUAAAGAAAACUAAAAGACAGAAACACAUAGUAAAACAAGAACGUUCGGAUACGUCUGAGUCAGGUACCGAAGAACAACAAGAACAGCAACAUCAAGAAUAUCAGUUACAAUUACGAAAUAACAACAAUGUAACGGAAAAUAAUGGCGAUUCUGUACGGUUGAUGGACCAUACAAUGGAUGGUAGUAAUUUGGAAGUAGCUUUCGAGGCGAGUGUCGUGACUGCAGAAGACCAGGAGGACGAGGACGACGAUGAGGAAGAAAGUAUUUUGCCUGAUACCGGAGAAGAGAUUGGCAAUGGGGAUGUUAAACUAAGUGUGAAAGUGGAAUCGGCGCCGCAACGGAUGCUGGCCGUUCAUAGUGUUAUCACGCCGGUAGAUGAUGUCCCGGAAACGAUAAUACCGGACGCUGUGGAAUAUACGUGCGAGAUGUGUGCGGCAGUGUUUUCGAGCCGCGCCGAAUUAUUGGUCCACGUACCGAUACAUAUUUGAUUUGAUUUAAUUUGUCCAAGUUGGUCAGCAUGGAGAUAUGUUUUCUCGGAUUUUUGUGUUCCGCGUGGUAAUGAAAGGAUUAUACAGGAAUCGAGAUGCAAGGAUAAUAUGAGGAUGCCGAAAAAUUUACGAAUACAAGCAUAAAUUCUGUAAGAAUCGUUGAAAAUACAUGAUGAUAAAAAUGUUCUUGAAAUUAGCGAGAUAACUGUAUAAUAUAUAUACAUACCACACAUGUACACACGCGCACGCAUGCACGUACGCGCACACGCUGCAAAUAGAAUAUUUAUACUAAAAGUGUUAAUUUCUCUAUUUAUAAUUAGCAUUUGUAAUGUAUAAUUAUUGGUAUAGAAGUUUGUUUUCUAUUGCAGCACUAUCUUGAACGUACGUUGUUCAAUGUAGAAUAUAGUCAUAAAUUCAUUAUAAUAUGACAUUAUUAUGCGUGCAAUUUUUAAGUAGAAAUAGAAGUGGACUUGGAUCGCAGAUCCAAACACCUCGUAUACCAAACAAACAAGCACCAUAAAGCACUAUCCCGUAAAUAAAUUUCUGUUGGAUCUGAUAUUGGAUUUUAUAAAUUUAACGCUUUCGUGUUUUUGUACAUAUUCUAUUUAUAUGUUUUAGGUUUUUUUUGAUAUUAU
This 4238-nucleotide unclassified non-coding RNA is filed under the name Harpegnathos saltator (Jerdon's jumping ant). RNAcentral describes it as "zinc finger protein 594, transcript variant X1". Lineage: Eukaryota; Metazoa; Arthropoda; Insecta; Hymenoptera; Formicidae. The record is from RNAcentral.